Molecule: transfer RNA, 59 nt
Filed under: Parachtes teruelis
Lineage: Eukaryota; Metazoa; Arthropoda; Arachnida; Araneae; Dysderidae
Description: tRNA-Phe
Source: RNAcentral
ACAAAUAUAGCUUACUUUAAAGCAUUUUAUUGAAGAUAAAAAUACCUCUUCAUCAUGAA